GGAGGGCCAUAGUUCAGUGGUGGAACACAUCUGUUUUGCGUACAGAAGUUCCUAGGUUCAAUCCCCAGAAUCUUCA
Non-coding RNA from Podarcis lilfordi (Lilford's wall lizard), 76 nucleotides. The record is from the annotation of a GenBank genome assembly. NCBI's taxonomy places the organism in Eukaryota, Metazoa, Chordata, Lepidosauria, Squamata, Lacertidae.